RNAcentral lists this ribosomal RNA (591 nucleotides) under uncultured fungus. Its description in RNAcentral is "eukaryotic LSU rRNA". It matches the Rfam family "Eukaryotic large subunit ribosomal RNA", at positions 40 to 647 of the family's 3401-position model. Lineage: Eukaryota; Fungi. The record is from RNAcentral.
AUAUCAAUAAGCGGAGGAAAAGAAACCAACAGGGAUUACCCUAGUAACGGCGAGUGAAGCGGUAACAGCUCAAAUUUGAAAUCUGACCUUCACGGGUUCGAGUUGUAAUUUGUAGAGGAUGUUUCGGAUAAGGCUUUGGUUUAAGUUUCUUGGAACAGAACGUCAUAGAGGGUGAGAGUCCCGUCUAGAACCGAUAGCCGCGUCCAUGUGAAACUCCUUCGACGAGUCGAGUUGUUUGGGAAUGCAGCUCAAAAUGGGUGGUAAAUUUCAUCUAAAGCUAAAUACUGGCCAGAGACCGAUAGCGCACAAGUAGAGUGAUCGAAAGAUGAAAAGCACUUUGGAAAGAGAGUUAAACAGUACGUGAAAUUGUUGAAAGGGAAGCGCUUGCAACUAGACUUGCAUGCAGUCGAUCAUCCGAUGUUCUCACCGGUGCACUCGAUUGCAUUCAGGCCAGCAUCGGUUUCGGUGGUUAGAUAAAGGCCUUGGGAAUGUAGCUUCUCUCGGGGAGUGUUAUAGCCCAAGGUGCAAUGUAGCCUACCGGGACCGAGGACCGCGCUUCGGCUAGGAUGCUGGCGUAAUGGUUGUAAGCGA